This 455-nucleotide ribosomal RNA is filed under the name uncultured Gemmata sp. RNAcentral's name for it is "bacterial SSU rRNA". It matches the Rfam family "Bacterial small subunit ribosomal RNA", at positions 337 to 797 of the family's 1533-position model. The record is from RNAcentral. Lineage: Bacteria; Pseudomonadati; Planctomycetota; Planctomycetia; Gemmatales; Gemmataceae.
UCCUACGGGGGGCAGCAGUCGAGGAUCUUCGGCAAUGAGCGCAAGCUUGACCGAGCGACGCCGCGUGUGCGAUUGAAGGCCUUCGGGUUGUAAAGCACUGUCGAGGGGGAGAAAAGCCCGCAAGGGUGUGAUCUAUCCCUGGAGGAAGCACGGGCUAAGUUCGUGCCAGCAGCCGCGGUAAGACGAACCGUGCGAACGUUGUUCGGAAUCACUGGGCUUAAAGGGCGCGUAGGCGGGCUGCCGCGUCCGGGGUGAAAGCCCACGGCUCAACCGUGGAACUGCCGCGGAUACGGGCGGUCUCGAGGGGGGUAGGGGCACGCGGAACUGUGGGUGGAGCGGUGAAAUGCGUUGAUAUCCACAGGAACUCCGGUGGCGAAGGCGGCGUGCUGGACCCCAUCUGACGCUGAGGCGCGAAAGCCAGGGGAGCAAACGGGAUUAGAUACCCGGGUAGUCAA